Molecule: long non-coding RNA, 1233 nt
Organism: Macadamia integrifolia
Lineage: Eukaryota; Viridiplantae; Streptophyta; Magnoliopsida; Proteales; Proteaceae
Exons: 2
Source: RefSeq, a predicted model, not a curated record
CUACCCUUACUGCAUAUAUACUAUAGCAUUAAUUUAGCACUGAGUAUGAACCAUCAAGACCUUCCCCUCCCCCCUUGUUCCUCAAAUUCACUCCCCCCUGAAGAAUUUUUUGUCUGGUGGGAAAUAUAGGAUAAUCUUCUUGUGGUGAAUGGAGGACACUGGAGAAGUAUAAGAUUUCUUCGACUCUUUUAAUUCUUGAUUUUGUUUCCUUGGAUUGUUCUCAAUUUGUCUUCUGAAAAUAACCUCUUCAAGGCUAAUCAGAGAUUCCUAUUCCCCUCUCUUUCUUCAGCAUUUCUUUCUUCUCAAUUUAGGUUCCAUGGGAGUCUCAAGAAUGGAUAUCCUAGCAUCCUUCUUGGGGAGGUCUUGAAAACAUCCCACUUGGUAGAGAUUAGGGCAGAAACCACCCUGUAGAGUAAUGCAAUUCUUCAUUAAUUUGUUUGAGAAAUCUCAAGUACAAUUAAGGACUUCACAUAACCAGACUCUUGGUCUAACUCCAAAUAUGUAAAUCCAUACCAGGUGUCAGGGAAAGUUUUGACCCCAUGGCAUCGCCUAAUUAGGCUCAAUUCUGAUGACUCAUGAUGAAGAUAUUAAAGCCCAAACCCUUGCUCGCCUGAAAUGGUAGAGCUGCAAAAGGAAGAAAAGGAAACUUUUUUAUUCUACCAAUCUUCUUUUCAAUGUUAUUUGGGCCAUUGGCCAAGGGUUUCUCCUUUAUUAUUAGAUCUAGACCUCAAUUUUGAUUCGGAUUACUUGAUUGGCAGCGGACGCAAGAACAGAAGCAGCAUGGCCAUUUUUGGCAACGUUGAGAUGGAAGAAGAAGAGCUGAGUAAGGAUUUUAUUCCAUGGUCAAUUGGGGCAAAUAAUUUGAUUUUUUUUCUGAUGAUUUGGAUCUACUUUUCUUGUAAUUCCAAGGCAAAUUUAGCUUGAGAAAGGGUUCGGACAGCUCAUUUUGAUCAUGGUACCAUACCCUUAUUCCCUCACCUAUUGAUAAUUAGGAAUAGCACGGAAAGAGGGAUCAUUCUUUAGGGAAGGUCUUGUUGUUUUGUUGCUCCUUGUAAGUUGGGUGAAUUGACUGGAGAUCUUUACAUAUUUCCUUUCAGAAAUUUUCCAGUAAGGUCUAACUGAUGAUUUGUUUGCCAUACACACUCCAUUUCUUGAGUUAUAAAGGAGUAGUAUAGAGAUUGCCUUAGAUGCUACUGAUGAUUUGUUUGAAAUAAAAUUUCCAUUCUUAGGGUA